CACACACACACACGCACACGCACACACACACACUCAUUCAUCUCCCCCUUCCCCCCAUCAGAACGAGUGUGACUCCCCCUCCCUCCUCCCCCACCAGACAAUCUCUCCUCUCCUCUCGGCUCUUAAUGAGAGUCUGUUUAAUUAUUUCAGCAGGCGGACCGGGGUUCGGCCUUGGCUGUGAUUUGGGACGUGAGCGCCGUGCUGAUGGAGGACGGAUCAAUAAUUCAGGCCUCGCUCUCCAUGCUUUAGUGUUAAAAGGCUGUACGGCUGAAGGCCGGAGGCUACGGAGCUUUAAAAUGGAGUGGAGAGGAGAAGAAGAAAAAAAUGUGUGUGUAUAUAAUAUAUAUAUAUAUAAUCAUAAACCCGAGAGAAGAGCACAAAUAUUCCCUUCAUUUCAUCAGUUAUAAAAAUAAAAUUUUAUAUUUUCCUUUUCUCAGUUAAUUUUUAAUCUUUAAUUUUUAUUUAUCUGUAAAUUAACACUGCAACGAAUCCAUCAUUUAGGUGUGUGUGUGUGUGUGUGUGUGUGUGUGAGAGAGAGAGAGAGAGGGAGAAAUCUUCGUAUGUAACGGAAUAUCCUGAAUAUUUAUCAGAACAUCCUGUUCACACGCUUGCGUCCGCGUGCAGAUUGCUUUACACGCCAAUGUCGUGCCCUUGAACGUGACGUUAUUAACGUGUUCGUCACGUCCGGCUUUUGUUUCUUCGCAGCCGCAACCUGCGAUUUAAAAACACGACACGGGUUGCUUUAAAGGUGCGGUGUGUCGUUUUUAAAAGUGUUUCCUAGACCUGGAGUGAUCUGAUAAGUUCAGCGCUAGCCUGUCCGCCGUUCACGUUAGCAGGAGCCGAGUGACUUGUAGCCUGUCUUGUGGGCGUGUAGCGAACCUCGUACCGUUAAACUUCGCAACCUCUACAGCCGUAAACAUACGUAAACAUAAUAUAACCCACGCAGUAAAAUGUGCUAGUUUCUGUUUACUUUUUUUUUUUUUUGGCCUAGAAGUGAGCUCCGCCUCCUGGAAGAACAUUCCUUAAAAGCAACUAUCAUGAGAAAGUCUGUUGGAAUUACAAUCUCGAGCAGCAGAGGGCGCUAAACCUCACAUACCGCACUGCACCUUUAAUCUGGAAUUAGUUUCUUCUUAAUGUUCCAGAUUUACUACCUGCUUCAUACCUAAUUUGAAUAAAAUUGACAAAACUUCAGUUCGGGUGUUAUUUCUGUGUGGUAAAACUUGACGAUUUCUUCUUUUCAAACUUCUGUUGAAUUUUUUCUGGCCCAGAAAGAACAUUCCUCAGAAACGAAACCACAACGAGGCGUUUGUAGAGUGGGCGGAGUCUGCUGACGGAUAAGACGAAGGCUUGUUAAAGUUUCCAUCGAAAUUAAAAUCAGCGGGCGCUUUAGCAGAGGGCGCUAAAAAUCACUCACUGCACCUUUAAUCCAGGUUGUUAGUUCAUUUAUAAUGUUGCAAACAACGUCUUGAAGACGCAGCCGGGGGAAAAAACGUCCGCAGAUUAACAAUGCCGGUUGUCGCUGUUGCGGUUGUUGUUGUUGUUUUUUCUUUACGUUAUGAAUAUGCAUACGCAUAUGCAAAUCGGACCGAUCUUAUAAACAGCGCUAUCAAGCUGUCGGAUUUUAAAUCUCAGCUCUUUUUUCUGUCCCGUAAACGAUACGGAGAUGUCCGUGUAGCCGCGUUCGAUAACGGCUCACUUUUAUCGGCGCACUCCAGUGUUUAAGUUGCGUGUAAAUCCGAUCUUUAAAGCAGGAAGUGGUAAUAUAUCGCCACUUUCACCCUCUCAGCUUCUCUAAUACUCUUUUUUUUUCCCGGAGCACAACCCACAGGAGGCUAAUAUCCGUUUACUGCCUCAUGCAUGUAUUUAUUCAACGCAUCAUUCAUCUCUUCCGCGGGGAAAAUAACGACUCGAGGUCAUCCCGCAUUCUUUAUUUGUUUAUCUCCCGCCCCCCCCCUUUCCUUUUAUCAUGGCCGAGGAGCGUAUCUGCCGGCUUCUCUAAUAUACAUGAGGCGGCCUCGUUCCUCGUUCCUCGUUCCAUUCCAGCGCAGAAGCACACUGUCUUUAUUAUUUAAUUAAGUCGGCGGGUCGUUACAUUAAUAAUUGAGUGUGUGAGGCCCUUUUCCUGGUGCAGAGUGCAUUAAAAAUGUGUGUAUUUAUGUCCCUGAGGGUGUGUGUGUGUGUGGGUGAGUGUGUGUGAGCUCGGUGCAUAAAAUUGAAUUGGUUAUAUCUAAUAUAUCCAGCCUCCCGAAGGACGAACGGAGAGACAACGACGAGAGAGAAAAGAGAGAGAGAGAGAGGGAGAAACAAACGGCGCGUGUCUCUCCUUCCCGAGACGAUCGAUCCGUGAUCCCACGUGUCUCUUAUCGACGUGAGGAUCAGCCCACAAUCCCGUAAUUACUAAAACGCAAAGUUCAUCAAUUAUAUAAAUAAAUAAGGUUCUAAUUAAACCGAGCUUCCAGAGAGAGAGAGGGAGAGAGGGAGAGAGAGAGAGAGAGAGGGAGAGAGAGAGGGAGAGAGAGACCUGUACGGCGGACGCUCUUCGUAAACGUGUAUCUAAACACACGUGUACGGAAGGAGUCUCCAGUGUUUACGCUGCCACGCCGUGAGCGAGAACGGAACAUUACAUGUAACUGUAAAGGGAUAAAAGGUACGAUGUGAAGUUCUCUCUUUAACAACUAAACAGUGUAAUCGUCACAACAUGGAGGCGUGUGGAGACACACACACACAUGCACACACACACACACACUCACACACACACACACACACUCACACACACACACACACGCACUCACAUAUACACACACACUCACACACACUCACUCAUACACACACACACACACACUCACACACACACACACACACACACACUCACACACACACACACGCACUCACAUAUACACACACACACACACACACUCACUCAUACACACACACACUCACACACACACACGCACACACGCACUCACACAUACACACACACUCACACACACUCACUCAUACACACACAUACACACACACACACACACACACACGCACUCACACAUACACACACACACACACACUCACACACACUCACUCAUACACACACACACACUCACACACACACACUCACUCAUACACACACACACUCACACACACACACACACACACACACACACACACACACACAUACACACACACACACACACACAGGAUAAGGACAGCCAGGAGUUCACUUCCUCUUAUCUUGUGACACUGAUAAAAGAAACACUGUGUGUGUGUGUGUCUGUCUGUGUAUAUGUGUUUGUGUGAAUGUGUGUGUCUAUGUGUGUCUGUGUGUGUGUGUGAGUGUGUGUGUGUGUGUGUGUGUGUGUCCUUUUUCUCUUAGACAUGGACCGAUCUACUCCUAGUUUUCCACACCGAGUGUGUAGAAUUGAAAUGUUAUAGACUGUUACUGUCAGAGUGUUAAAUGUGAUAUAUAGACCUGAGGGAGUGUGUAUGCAUGUGUGUGUGUGUGUGUAUGUGUGUGUGUGUGUGUGUGUGUGUGUGGAAGGUGCUCAUGGGAAAGCCGAGGCUAUCCAGCAUGUGUGAUGGCAGGGCAAUGUGGCGCGAGGUAAUGGCUUUAAGGCAACACACCAGAACCGUGUGUGUGUGUGUGUGUGUAUGUGUGUGUGUGUGUGUGUGUGUGUGUGUUAAUCCCUUUGUCAUCCGUCCCUCUUAAUGUGUGGAUCUAGAUGCAGUGACGCUUGCAGCGUGUGUGUGUGUGAGUGUGUGUGUAAAUGCGUGUAUGAGUGUGUACAUGUGUGUGUGUGUGUGUGUGUGUGUGUGUGUGUGAAAAGGUACAUGUGUGUGUGAGUGUGUGUGUACAUGUGUGUGGGUUUGUGAGUGUGUACAGGUGUGUGUGAGUGUGUGUGUAAAUGUGUGUGUGUGUGUGUGUGUGUGUGUGUGAGUGUGUACAUGUGUGUGUGUGUGAGUGUGUGUGUGUGUGAGUGUGUACAUGUGUGUGUGAUUGUGUGCCAGCUGGCUAGAGCAGGAGCGCAUUAAAGCUCACACUCACAGCAGGCACUACUGAUCUGAUAGAGCUGACGACACACACACACACACACGCACACACACACACACACACCGUGACACCCCACGGUGAGACGGCGCUGUGUUUGAGUGUUCCGCUCCAGACCCGCUUCUUUGCAUUCCUUUACUAAUUCUACAUGAAUAAUUAUUUAAAUGUAUUCGUAUUCACACUCAUUUGAAUAUUAAUGAGAUUAUAAUGAGAUUCUGAUGAACACACAGUGAGCUCUGUGUUCGUAUUAUAUAACUCUGAGUCUCGCUACAGGUAGGAGUCCAAACCCUGGUUCUGGUUCUAGUUCUGGUUCUAGUUUGGGUUCUGGUUCUACAUUGGGUUCUGUUGAAAACGGUUGGUUUGGGGUUCUCUUUAACAGAUCUGUGGUGUGUUCCACAUCAGGUGUGUCAGCUCUCUGCUCUGACGCUGCGAUGUGAUUGGUUCAACUUGCCACGUUACUUACUUCCUGUUUGAGGUUAGGCAGAUCAAUAGAUAGAUAGAUAGAUAGAUAGAUAGAUGACUUUAUUAAUCCCUGAAGAAAAUUCACACUUUUUUAUUUUACAAUAAUAAUACUGAGAUAUCGCAGGUAUUGCAAUAUAUAUGUUUUAAGUUUAAAUUGUUUUUUACAAAAAUAUUUACAAACUGAUCAGAAACAGUUUUGUAGUAAAUUUAUAACCAAUAACUUUUUUGUAGUAAACUUUAAAGAUGGUAAAAAUAAAUAAAUAAAUAAAUAAAUAAAACAUUAAAAAAUCCUCAUUGUUAAAUUAUUUAUUUAUUUGUUUAUUUUUAUAUAAACUUUAUAGAUAUGUUUACAUUUUUCUUUAAACACAACACUUUAAACGCAGUUUUGCAAGACGCUUCUUGGCCAACCUUUUGUGAUUUUUUGUCAUAUAGCGUAUUCCUAAUAUAUGUAAAUAUGUAAAUUUUAUGCGAAAGUGAGCUUCCUCUUGAAUGUAGCCGAAUAAAGGUACAAAAUGAAAAAAGUUAAAAAAAAAAAAAAAGGCUUGUUAUCACGUCAGCUGAGCCGCUCGAUAACAGGCCGUCAUUGACCCGGUAAUGGCCUCGGUUGCCAUGGCAACACUGUCUCUGUAAUAAAAAGCCGGACGUUUUAACAUUUCUAAAUAAAACUUUAAAAUAAAAAUAGGAAUAAACAGAACUCGGUGUGAGAAACCCUGCAGCGGACGUGAAGCUCGCCUGCUGGAGGAAGCGAUAAAUAACUCGGAGUUUUAUAAACCGCUCUCACAGUUUUAAAGUCCUGUUCUAUAACGUUUAAAAUGUCACCAGGGGGCCAUAACUCGGGGGGGACACAAAAAAACCCCAACCCUGCCAGUGUGUCACUUCCUCCUGCGGGGUGUAAUAAAGUUUUAUACGUUUGAACAGAGCGCGAGACGACGAC
Ictalurus punctatus (channel catfish) is the source of this 5435-nucleotide long non-coding RNA. The record is from Ensembl. NCBI's taxonomy places the organism in Eukaryota, Metazoa, Chordata, Actinopteri, Siluriformes, Ictaluridae.